This 386-nucleotide unclassified non-coding RNA is filed under the name Hevea brasiliensis (rubber tree). Lineage: Eukaryota; Viridiplantae; Streptophyta; Magnoliopsida; Malpighiales; Euphorbiaceae. The record is from RNAcentral.
GACUUCAUCAGAUCACCAACAACAAUGAAAUCUCCACGAGUUUGCACAUAGAGUGCAAGUAUAUGCCCAUGAUGCCCACACUCAGACUGUAGCUCACGAGAACCAUCAUCUCGAAGCAUCCACUUGUAUAACUGGAUUUUCUGAUUAAUAGCAGCUAGCAGUUUGCCAUUGAAAGCAUUCAAUGAGUAAACAGCACCCUUAGUUUCCUUCUCGGUGAUAAGCUGCAACUUCCCUUCCUCAACCAUGAAAACCAAUAUUCGGCCCUUAGUUGGCUCAUUUUCCUCUGGCAAAACAUAAGCAGUUCCAACACAGUAGUACACAUUAAUAUCAUCAGAAAAGGAACAGCUGAGUAUGGACCAGCCAUACUCAAAUGGGUCAAGUUGGUA